UACGUAGGGUGCGAGCGUUAAUCGGAAUUACUGGGCGUAAAGCGUGCGCAGGCGGUUUUGUAAGCCAGAUGUGAAAUCCCCGGGCUUAACCUGGGAAUGGCAUUUGGGACUGCAAGGCUGGAGUGUGGCAGAGGAGACUGGAAUUCCUGGUGUAGCAGUGAAAUGCGUAGAUAUCAGGAGGAACACCGGUGGCGAAGGCGGGUCUCUGGGCCGAUACUGACGCUGAGGAGCGAAAGCGUGGGGAGCGAACAGG
Molecule: ribosomal RNA, 253 nt
Filed under: uncultured bacterium
Lineage: Bacteria
Description: partial 16S ribosomal RNA
Rfam family: Bacterial small subunit ribosomal RNA
Source: RNAcentral